CACGUAGUUAGCCGUGGCUUAUUCUUACGGUACCGUCACUUUCUUCGUCCCGUACAAAAGAAGUUUACAAUCCGAAAACCUUCAUCCUUCACGCGGCAUUGCUGCAUCAGGGUUCCCCCCAUUGUGCAAUAUUCCCCACUGCUGCCUCCCGUAGGAGUCUGGGCCGUGUCCCAGUCCCAAUGUGGCCGUUCAACCUCUCAGUCCGGCUACCAAUCGUCGCCUUGGUGGGCCGUUACCUCACCAACUAGCUAAUUGGACGCGAGGCCAUCUCAGAGCAAUAAAUCUUUGAUAUAAAAGGGAUGCCCCUCUCAUAUGUUAUGCGGUAUUAGCACACCUUUCGGUGUGUUACUCCCCCUCUCUGAGGCAGGUUCCUCACGCGUUACUCACCCGUCCGCCACUAACGCCUCCUCUUCCGUGACCGAGUCUCCUCAGGCGCUCCGUCGACUUGCAUGUGUUAGCAUCGCCGCCAGCGUUUAUCCUGAGCCAGGAUCAAACUCU
RNAcentral lists this ribosomal RNA (498 nucleotides) under uncultured Oscillospiraceae bacterium. RNAcentral's name for it is "partial 16S ribosomal RNA". Lineage: Bacteria; Bacillati; Bacillota; Clostridia; Eubacteriales; Oscillospiraceae. The record is from RNAcentral.